This 3089-nucleotide long non-coding RNA is filed under the name Mus musculus (house mouse). RNAcentral's name for it is "long non-coding RNA chr8:45779227-45782316". Lineage: Eukaryota; Metazoa; Chordata; Mammalia; Rodentia; Muridae. The record is from RNAcentral.
AGGAGAGGCCUUGUGAUCACCAGAAAUUUGUGUUAAAUGAUUUGAUCCACCGAUUAGACCACAUUUCCAGUUUACAGACUCCAUAUGACAAUCAUAGCAACUUCACUGGGAUAAUAUUAAUAAAGGCAUAACUGAUCAUCUAAAUUGGAUACACUUGUAAAUCAGCCAUGUUAAUUGCCUUUAUGCUUAAUAAAAUUUAAAAAAAGAAUCCACUAAGGCAUUGUUACCUUUGAUACAGUAACUGUGCUUACAUCUAAUAAUAGCCAAAAGGAACACAACCGGAUGAGUUGAAAAGGCAAUUUAAACCACCAGAGACUAUGGGCUCAUCAAGAGAAAUCACUACUCACAGUUAAAGCUAUAAAAAUCUGGGAAGGUAUAGCUGAUGGUUUGACCCAUGAAGAAUUAUCCCAUCAUGCAAUAGUACUUUCUGGGGAAAACAAACAGAAGCCUAUCAACCCAUGCCUUGAAGCUUGAAAGCCAAUGAGCAUUUAUGAGAACAAACUCAGGUCCUCCAGUGUGUUUAGGGUAACCCAGAAAGCGUGUGCCCAGCAAAAGGCUUUUACGUUGGGGAAACAUUAAAAACCAUGCGGUCUAGGGAGCUUUCGAGAGCAAUCACAUGUGAGCCCUGGUGUUAGUGUAUCUUAAGCACUUCUCACGCUGGAGGUGGAUGGUCUGUGUGAGUGAAAGGUUGCUAGGUUUGUGAACUGACAGAAAUAAAACAGAGCGAGAGAGACAUUCCAUCCAUCGGAAGCUGCUCUCCCGCCAUUGCGGGAAUUACACUGAGAGGUAGCUGUUCCCUGGUGGAUUCCCAUGAAGAGGAGUUUCUCUGGUGUGAGGGAGGAGAGGGAAUGCGGACAGAGAUCCUACGCCUGUGCUUCCGUUAUCUGACAGUCUGCAUAUGUGUCGCUGAUUGUGGCAGUAGUUCUGGAUCCUUUAGAAAUAGUUCUGGAUUGCUACGGGAUGCAUUCAAUUAUUGUAUAACUAAAAGAAUUCAUCUAGACAGUUUACUGGCAUCUCCUUUUGGGGGGAGUCUGGCCUUUUGGGGGGUGUCUAUUUGUUGGGGAUUAUCUUGCUUGAUAUUGUUUGUUUUAUGUUCUUUUGAGAUAAGCCCAGGCUGAUUUCAAACUCACCAUCCUCUUCCCGCUAGCUCCUAAGUACCUGCAAUUCAAGUGUGCACCAGCAUGCCCAGCCGAUAAAGCAAAGGCUCUGCUCGAAUGCGUACAACUCACAGCAUUGCAGAAUUGCUAAGGAUGACCUGUUGCUAUCUAGGGGACUUUCUGUGCGACUAUCUGUUUGCACAGAUUUUACCAGGUUGCUCACUGUGACUAUAGACUGAAGCUUUAAUACACAGAGCCCUUUCUAUCCUUUCUAUUUAUUGAAAUCGCUAGUUUCAAAUUUGGAGCAGGAUGAUAGCUAUCUCCUCCUUUCCGCAGAUUCUACAGAAAUGUAUCUCCACCAAGGAGAAUAUGGGCUGUCGAUUUGUCAUUGAUUUCCUUUAAGUCAAGUUGACUUUAAAAAGCUUGUCUAUUUGUUUAGUAAGUUUGCUGCCCCCUAGUGUUCUGUUCAUGUGUUUUGAAGCAACUCUUUCCCCUUCUAAGAAUGGUUCUCAAAUUCCUCAUGAUGUGGUGACCCCUAACCAUAAAAUUUUUUUCGUUGCUAAUUUAUAACUGUAAUUUUGCUACUUCUAUGAAUCCUAAUGUAAAUAUCAGUGUUUUCCACUGGUCUCAGGAGACCCACAGGUUGAGAACCACUGCUCUGACAAAUUCCUAUCUUCCCUCAGCAAAAUCAAACACUCCAGAUGGGUGUAGGUCAUCCCAACAGUAGCUGAAAGCAAAACUUUAAAAAGUGACCAUUCAUAGACACUAAACAUCCAGCAAUGGAAACUAUGGAGUUUGGAAGAAUUUGAGGGUUGUCUUCUGUUAAGGAGAUAGUAUAGCUGUCUGAACUACACAAAGGUUAGCCACCAGUCCUCUCUGCUGUUAACUGUUCAAAGAUAAAAGCACCUAUGAAGUAAUUAUACACUACAGCUGGCAUUGUCUAAACAAUUGGAGAAAAGUAACAUUUCAUCACUAACAAAAUCUUAACAUUCCUAUAACUAGUGAAUCAAAAUUUUUAAUUCGGUGGAAAGCAUGUGUUUCUUUUAAGCCUGUGAAAAUUGGUUACUGGCAGGUGUUCUCUUUAACAGAUCUCACUGUUAAUUUUGAAACCAAAAGUAACCUUGACAUAGAUUAGGGUAAAUAUCUCAGAGCUUCCGCAGAACAUGUGCUCUCGUUCUGAUUGAAUGGCCGCUUCAACUGUUAGUGAUGGAAAAAACAAACAAACAAACAAACAAAACCUCAUAGCCAAAGACUAAACACUAAAAGUAAUAGUAAAUGCUACAAGGCCACUUGCAGCGCUCAACCAACAGUGUCACAUUUUGCAUACACAUAAAUUCCUGUAUGUGUCCAUCCAGACACCCGCUUGGGAUGUCAUCAACCAGGGUACAAGCAUGCCACUAUGAAGUGUUAUUCGCUCACCAUUGGUCACAAGCAACUCCCAGGGUUAUUCUGCAGUCUUUAUAAUCACCACCAUUAACUCUAUCAUUGUAAUGUCAGUGAAACACUAUAAUAGUAUGUGAUGGUAUGUAAUAGCAUGUAAUGAAUGAUAUGUAAUAGUAUGUAAUAGAUGAUGAAACAGUACAAUAUUUCACUACUACUAAGCCCAUGACAAAAUAGCCUAUUUUUUUUAAUGUGGUAAAUAUCAACGGCCCCAGCAUUACAGGGUUACAGAGCAACUCAGUAGGAAUCCUUGAGCCCCUUAAGAAUUCUAGGGGAAUAAUAUGGGAUUGAAGGGGUGGGUGUUUAGCAGCCCUCCCAGAUGGUACUGUGGACUUCACGGCUUUUCUCUUGGUUGGCAUGAAUGGCUUUUAGGGAACCAAGUAACUUUCCUUAGAAUUUUUUCUGACUUAAUAUAUUAUAUAACACAACUAUAUACAUUUCAUUAGGGACAUCAGAUAUAUCAAAGAAGUAGCUAGGGACACAUUCAGUACCUUGAGCAUCAUUUUAUAGAAAAGCAACCACCAUGAGAGCAUCUAGCCUGGUGGGUAUCAU